This is a long non-coding RNA of Panthera uncia (snow leopard), 4844 nucleotides long. RefSeq lists it as uncharacterized. The transcript has 4 exons. NCBI's taxonomy places the organism in Eukaryota, Metazoa, Chordata, Mammalia, Carnivora, Felidae. The record is from RefSeq and is a predicted model, not a curated record.
AGGGGGAGGAUAAACACAGACCACCCAGUGCAGUCCCUGGUCUAGUGGCAGAAACGGGGGUGCAGUUCGCUGAGAAGUAGCUGUCGCACAAGCAGCACGGGGAGCCCUGAGUGCCACCUCCUGCAGACACACGGGGACACCUGGGUCCCCUCCUCCCCUGAGCACCACCUCCUGCAGACACACGGGGACCUGGGUCCCCUCCUCCCUUUAUCGGGCUGUCCGGCAGCUGCUUGCAGAUGUGCAUUUCUCCUGAAAAUCAGCUAAGCCUGCAGGAUUCUCAGCUUUAAAACAGAAACAAAAACCCCUCCGUGGAUCUGCCGGCACUGGGCCUGCAUUUCCGCGGCCGGAGCUGCCGGCAGGCACCGCCCCGUUUGCACACCGCCCUGCCCGCUUCGUUGUCUGUCACCUUCCCGGCCUGUUGGCCCCUGAAUUGAACCCUGCUUCCCGGCAGGAAUUACCCUCCAUUUCCGGUCUGUCCCGCUCGCUAGCCCCGCCUGUGGCCGCACGCUUCCGCGGAGCUCUGCUCACGGCUGGCCUGGUCCGAAGUGUCUCGGCUGCACCCGCUCCUCACCAGGGCACCCACUCUCUUCCGGUUCUCUUCCACACUCAACGCAGACGCAUCCUGCCAGGGCCACCGGUGCCCGGGAGUCACUGUAUCCGUCUCCCGUGCGCACCUGGGCCGCCCCGCAGACCCGACACCGUCACCGGCCACCCCUUCCUCUGUGCACCCCCUUCACACAUGGCUUUGCCACGUGCGCCCGGGUUCCCUCCUGCCCGGUCUUCCCAUCCAGCUCUCCCUCCUCGGCCCGGGUGUUACGUGUCCCACGCAGAUUCUCCUCUGGUCCCCGGCCUUCGAGACGGCCCACACGUUGAGGGACCCGAAAUCCACGUGUGUGCAGCAUUCCUGUCUUCUAGCUGCACGUGCGUACGUCCCCACAUUCCCUUGACGUGCGCGGCAGGCCACUCGUGUGCAGCAAAGUCAGCGAGCCAGGAGCAAGCUGUUCCCUCAUUCCGGAACUCCCUAGGCGUUUCCGACUUAGUAAACGGAACCCCGGUCCAUCGACUUAGUCAUCCCUUAUAUUCUGUCUCCUUCACUCCCCUCGUAUCUGACCCAUCACUAACCUGUUCAUUUCUUGCCCAGAAUCCCCUGGAUUGCCUGGAAUCCAUCUGCUUUUCCCAUCUCCACAGCCUCCAUCCCAAGGGAACACAGCAUCGUGUCUUGCCUGGUGCCUGCACAGCCCCCUGACCGGUCUAGUGGCUUCCACAGAUGUUCCCUCACCCCCUCUGCACUCCUGGGGCAGACUGAAUGAGCUUUUAAAGAAACACGUCUCGUCCUUUGCCCCUUCUGCUGGGGACCUGCCCUGCUCCCCUCACACCUGAUUGUUGAAGCACGUGUGGACGACUCACCAGGCCCUUGUCGGCGCAUCGGCAGACUGGAAACGCUGCUCGCCCUUUCCACGUGGACCAGUGUCCUCACGCCGGGGCCUGGCCAGGGGCUCGCUCCCCAUGUCUGAGGGCGCCGAGUCCCCGCUGCGGCCGCUGGCUCAGGGCCCAGCUGGGGUCCGACGGAGGGGACGGCAGAGCGGGGCUGCAGUGCAGGAGUGCUUCCUGGUGGCGAUGGUGAGGCGGCCUCCUGAGGACGCGGGUGAUGGGGCGGCGUCUCCCCUCCACUCUCCUCUCGUGUCUUCAUCGGUGCCCACUGGCUGGAGCAAGAGUGGAGAGCGACUGAAGACCAGCUCACGUGGACUGGCUCCUGUGAGGCUCGCACAGGCCGGCUAGUUUCGCAAGAGAAGUGAGGGAGGUCGCGAAAGCCGGAGGACUUGUAGCCGAGUGCUCACCGUCCGUGUGCUUCCUGCGGCUCCCUGCCCGCCCCGAUCGCCACCCUCCCCGGGCCCGUCAUCACAGCUCGGCUCAGGCGUCUCUGGCGGAUGAGAAAUCGGGUGGUGGUUUGUUGGCGCCCAGCUCGGGAGGGAACCGGGCGGUCGACGGAACACGCGGAGGCUCUGCAGGGCAAGUAGCUGAACUCUGUGAAGCUGAGAGCUUCGAUUUGGGUUAGAAUUCCCAGAAAAGAACACCUCAGACAUACAGAGGUGUCGGGCCCUGAGGCGAUUUCCUCCCUGAGUACCUCCCCUGGGGGGGUCACUGACCCCCUCUGCAGGUCCUUCGAUGGGACUCCCAGGUGCGUGUGCACGUGUGCACGCACACACACGCUCACGGGCAUGGCAAGCACCACAGGUAUCCGUGGAUUCAUCGACCUGAAAUGGAGGCCUUCGCGGGUCUCACCCCCCCCCCCCCCCCCGCCGGCCUCCAUGGUCAGGGGCACCCAUCUCAGAGCCUGUGGCGGGACGGGGCCACGAGACAGCGACGUGUCAGCUCAGUCCAGCCUGCAGUGCUCCAUGUGGGCUGCACAGGGUUAGAGAGGACACCAGACGAGACGUCAGCGCUCCACGUUGAGUCUUUCUUGAACAAGCCGGCAACCCAGACUCUGUCCUUACUGGCAGCACUUGGCUGGAGCCAAGCAGCUCGAGUGCCCGGCACGGCGCAGGGGGGAACCCCGCACUGGCCCCGAGGGGGGCUCUCUGCACGUGCGGCGGGGCUGGCUUCUCGCAGGCCCAACACCUCCGUCUGUCUUUGCGUCAGCUUCCCCGGAAUGAGUUUCCUCAGGGCUGGAGAAUCGCAUCUUUCAUUCUGCUCGGGUGGGAACCAGCUGGGGGCCUAAACACAGAGCCUGUGGGUGGCGGGGCCCUCUUGACCUUCAGUUACUAAUUAAGCCAGUGCCAGAGGCUGACCCGGGGCACGGGGACACGGCGCUGCAGGAGCGGCCCUCUCGCAGAGGCUUCUUCCCGCGGCGUCCGCCCUGGUCUUGCUCUGACCUGCUGACAACCUGAGGCGGGGGGAUGAGUGCCAAGGGAGCACCUGAUCCUGGGCUGGCAGGUGUGCGGGGGGUGCAAACACCCCUGUCCCCUGGGAAUCUGCGACAGUAUCGGGGACAGUUCCAAAGAGUAAGGUCAUCAUAUACAUUAGCCUCAUACAUCAAGCAUCCUAUCUUACGUCGCAUGACCAUGUCCCUUUCAUCCUAACCGCUCAUGAGGAAGACACUCACGGCCUGUUUCCAUAGGGAGACCCUGGAGGCUCCGAGAGGGUCAGGCACUUCCUUGAGGCCACACAGCGGGUCUGGGGCGGCCCCGGGAACAGAGCCAGGCAUCCCGUGGCCCCAGAGCCCAAGAUAUGCCUGCUGGCUGUCUCCUCACCCUCGUUCUCCCGCCUCUGAACACACACGCUCAGCCAGGUGCUGGGCUCCUGCCGCGUGCCUCAGAGACCGCAGAGAGUGGGGACCCUCUUCUCGGACAGACCCUCUGUCACUGCCCCAGGGGGGCGGCCCCUGCCGGACGGAGGGGGACGUGGGAAGAAACGGCGGGGGAGCCUCCAGCGUGGAGUUCGGGGAAAGGUCCUCCGUGCUCCCCCGUGUUCCUGCCGAUGGGUGCUGGGGCCAGUUCUGCUAUUCUGUCAAGGCCGCAGAGAAUAGCCUCACACCUGACCUACUGUGCACACGUGAGAGCCUCCCUGUAGGAGAAAGUCCUAGAACAUCCUUCGGCACUUGGUGAGUCCUGGAGAAAUACUCAUUACGUGGAUGAGUUUAUCUAAGUCCGGCUGUGAUCAGCAGGGUCACACGUGCGGUCACUCAUAGAUGCGCCUGGUGGAUUCUCCUUGCCCUUCCCCAUCCGCCUACACGUUCGUCACACCGUCACAUCACCGUGACAUCACCAUUACCGCGACCUCUACCGCUGCAUCACCACCAUGACCAUCAUCACCACUGUCGCCGCCACCAUAAGCGCCAUCAUCACGAUAACCACCGUGGCCCUCGCCACCAUCCCCAUCGUCACCGCCAUCAUCAUCACCACCAUCACCAUCCCCAUCGUCACCACCAUCACCAUCAUCGUCGUCGUCAUUCUCACAGUGAACACCUAUUGGACACUUCCGUUCGCACGGAGCUGGGCUACAUCCUUUGCACACGUUCACGUACCUCAACUUCCCCCCCACUCACUUGUUGAGUGAGCUCGGUUACUCAGCAACUCUCAGGAGGGAUCUCACUCACCUUGGAUGCUCUACGUCCGAUAGUCAUUCUCCUCCUGCAUUAUCCUCCCAGUAGCACGCAUUGAAUGCUUACUGUUGACCAGGAAGGAUAAGCUACUCAAGUAGUUCUCACAGGAGGGCCGUUGUCAUUCCCGUUUUAUACGAGAGGCAGCUGAGCCCCCAGGGAGGUAAACUCACCUUCCCAACACCAACCAGCCACGGAGAGCAGAGCCUGCAUUUGGACCAGGGAGUCUGGCCCCACGGUAGGGGUCAUUAGGACCACCCCGCUGCCGGACACACGGGCCAGUACCCUGUGAUCUGGCCCCUCCUCCGUACAGAGACCGUCUCCCAAGUAUCCGGAGACCCAGCAAGCGGGAGAGCCGUGGGGCAAACGCGUGGGCGUCGGAUCCCAGAUGGAAGAAUGUCGCACCGAGAUGUGCUUGAGCUGGGAAAACGUGUCCAGGAAGCAGACACUCUGAUCGGGCACAAGGCUGGCGGUUCCUCGGACGACUGUGUGAGGCUCCCGCUGCAGACGUCUUAGCAUCUUGCCGGGAGCCUCUGCGGCUCGCUUCCCUUCACUGCAGGGGAGCAGACAGAGAGGCUCAGGUGCUCAGGUGCCGAACGGACAGAGCCCCGAGGACGCGCCAUGUCCCCUGUAGCCAGAGUAGGUGGUUUCCAGAAAUAGACUCGGAUGCCUACGGUUUCACCUCCAAAUUCUCGUGUGUGUGCACGUGUGCGUGUGCGUGGAGGACGCUGUGUUUCCAAAACAA